CCUACGGGUGGCUGCAGUGGGGAAUAUUGGACAAUGGGGGCAACCCUGAUCCAGCCAUGCCGCGUGUGUGAAGAAGGCCCUCGGGUUGUAAAGCACUUUCAGUGAGGAAGAACGCCUGGUGGUUAAUACCCAUCGGGAAAGACAUCACUCACAGAAGAAGCACCGGCUAACUCCGUGCCAGCAGCCGCGGUAAUACGGAGGGUGCGAGCGUUAAUCGGAAUUACUGGGCGUAAAGCGCGCGUAGGUGGCUUGAUAAGCCGGUUGUGAAAGCCCCGGGCUCAACCUGGGAACGGCAUCCGGAACUGUCAAGCUAGAGUGCAGGAGAGGAAGGUAGAAUUCCCGGUGUAGCGGUGAAAUGCGUAGAGAUCGGGAGGAAUACCAGUGGCGAAGGCGGCCUUCUGGACUGACACUGACACUGAGGUGCGAAAGCGUGGGUAGCAAACAGGAUUAGAUACCCCUGUAGUC
RNAcentral lists this ribosomal RNA (465 nucleotides) under Vreelandella stevensii. Its description in RNAcentral is "partial 16S ribosomal RNA". It matches the Rfam family "Bacterial small subunit ribosomal RNA", at positions 338 to 795 of the family's 1533-position model. Lineage: Bacteria; Pseudomonadati; Pseudomonadota; Gammaproteobacteria; Oceanospirillales; Halomonadaceae. The record is from RNAcentral.